AAAUAAUAACUGUAAUAUCAUCAAAUUCUGGUGCACUGAAGUCGUCACCCCUGCAAGCACCGAAUUGGAAUCAUUUAAAAGGGCAAAAUGUAAAGGUCAUAGGGCAACCAAAAAAAAAAAAAGGAAUGGAAAGAACAAAAAAAAAAGCCAUUGGUAGCAUAUAGAGAUCAACUACUGUGAGUUAGUUUGUUUUUUCAAUUAAAAAACAAUGAACGGAUCAUCUUCAAGAGGAUAAGAGAGCAAAAUAUAAUAUUAUAGAACUUGUACUAAGUGAACCCUCUAACAUCGGUUUGAAAUUAGCUGAAAGACUACAACUAUGUGAACAAUUUAUCAAAUAAUUUGCAUUUGUGGAGAGAAUCCAUCAACGAGGACAGCAGCAGCAGUUAAAUAAAAGAUUAAAAUAACAUGUUAAGAAAUAAAUGUUAAUGUGUGACUUAUAAAAUUGCAAAAAACAAAAUCUGCUCAACGUCUAAGCAAGUUAAGACGGUUGUACCUCUAGAUUUUAGAAAAUUCUAUUCUAAAUAGUUUUAUUGAUGAAAUUAGAUUUCUUUUUUCUUUUUCUUUUUUUAAAUCGGUAAAUUUUUUUUUUUAAUUGGUGACAUGUCUAAUUGAAUGAGUCUUGUUUUUAUUUUUGCAUGUGUCCCCAGCAAAUGUUAAGUUUGGAAGUAUUUGAUAAAUACGUUUUAUAUGCUUAUUAAACGAGCAAAAUUUUACUCACUUUGUGUUCUGUUUGAUUUGUAUAGGUUUCAGUCCCCACUUUGAAAAUUAAUUAAGUAAAAAGGAAGUGAUUUGAAACAUUAAUUGGACAUAAAGAUGGAAUUUCACUGGGGCUGAAAGUAUUGGGACUUUAUUUGACAAAACUGGAAUUUAAUUGGAAGAAUUCAUAAAAUAUGGUGGCCAAAAUGAAUUCUUUGUGAAGUUUAAGGACUAAAUCGAAUAAAACAAAAAUUGGGGAAAAAUUGGACUUGAUGGAAAUUUGAAGGACCAAAAUUGUUGAUAUAGAUAGUUUGAGGAUCGAAAUUGAGAGAGAAACGUUGAGGGACAGUCUUUGCAAUUAUCUUGUGAACAGUCAAAAAAUAUUUAAGAGGCACCUGUCAUGUGCCAGGGUGCAUGACGUGGGUAAAGGAAAAAGGAUAAGACUAUACGUACACUUUUCGAUGUACAUAAAGUCUUACAUCCCCACACAUGAAGGAGGUCCACACGUAAUUAUUAUGUGCAGGCUCACCUCCAUGUAAGAGGUGUAAAGAAUUGUAUACACUGAAAAUGUGCACGUAAUAUGAACCAAGGAAAAAUCAAAAGGCUGAUUGAAAAAUUGAAUUGAACCCCAAAAAUAACCAAACCAAAUAAAUUGAGACCCAAGCAAUCAAUUGGCAAACUUUUUGAGGGUCGUAGCAAGGUAACGGUAAGCAACUCGCCAACGCAGUUGACCGGGCUCAAGUGGGAAUUUAUGAUUUUUUUUUUAUUAUUUUUUUAAAUUCAAAUUUUAAGGAAAACUCAAGUAUUUCUUUGUCACGAAUUUCAAGGCAUGUCGAGGACUAUGUAAAUUGUAAAGAUCAAAAUUAGGUCAAGAAUUGGGGAUUGAAUACCAAAAAAUAGAGGAGCGUAAAAGAGAAAUUCCAUAUCAUAAACAUCAAAUUCAUGAAGCAAGAUUAAUGCAAGAAAUUGUUGUUGCGUUAUGAUGAUUUUAAAGGAAAAGAGUCGUUCGAAAUUGUUGAAGAGAUUCAAAAUUGUGUCAACUUUUUAUUCUGAGUUAUCUGGUUUGAAUUAAAUUGAGUGUACAGAAGAACAAAUCACAAAAAGGCUACAGAAGUCUCACAUGGGGGUGAGUCCCAUAUGAUUAUUUUAUUGCCUAAAAAAAUCCAACCACCCCUUUAUUGUGUCUUCUCUGUAAGUGUGUUCUGUGAGGAAAAAUUUUGUAAGUCUAGCAAAGUCCAUCUGGUUUAUGUUUCACUUUUCAUUAGUAUUUUUAUGAUAAUAUCAUGAUAAGCAAAACCCUUUUGUGAGUAGGGUUUUGAUAAUAUUCUGUUUACGCUUUCAUUAAUUAUUUUUUUUACUAAUAUUCUUUCAUGGUUAAUUGUUUACCCUUAUUCCAUGACAUUAAUGAUUGAUCAUUAUUAAUAUAUAUUGCACUCGAAUGAUUAGAAGUAAAUUAGUACGUGAUAAUAAAUAACUUAGGGUCUUAUAAAAUAUAGGUAGAGAUAUCAUUACGCUUUAUGAAUUUCGGAAUGCAAUAAUCUUCGUGAAUUAAUGUAUAUUUAUAUUGUAGUAGUUUAAUUAGAAUAACUAACUUCACAUAUAAGUUUAAGAUUGAUUGACCUUGAGAGAGGCUAUUGAUUAUGAUAGAUAAUUGACUUUCAACUUAGGCAAGAAUUGAAUAUCAAGGCGUGAAUGAGGGCUAAAGUAGCUAGGUUUACUAUGACGUAGUAAGAUAUUAAUACCUUUUGUGAGUUUAUUAAUUUGAAAAAUUGGGUGCUUAUUUAUAUUUUAAUUAUUAUUUUUUAGAUAAUUAUAUAGUUAAAAUCGAUACCCAAUAUAUAAGUGUAUGUGUUUUUCGAAUUAGAGCUAGGUUUAAGUAACAAGCGUUCAUGGAAUAAUAAUACUCUAUUUAUCACUUUAUUAUUAUAAUGAUAUGUCCACUCGAAUUAUAAAAUUACAACAUAUAUAUGGCAUGAAAAGAGUAAAUAUGUGUUGCACUCUUUUUUUUCUUAAUUGAGAUUUUGUCAUGUUGGAUUUUUGUUGAUAAGAUUUUUAACGAGGCAACUUUUAAAGUGGAUUCAAUCUUUUGCAUUUUUUUGCCUUCUUUUGAUAUUUUUGCCUCAUUGAGUUUUUGUCAAACAUAGUUUUUAAUGAGACAAUAUUGUGUUAUUAGUAAUUUAAGGGAGAUUGUUGUAAAUUAGGAAGUAUUUGUGAAUCACAAUUGUAUCAAUUAGCUCUAGUUAUACUUGACAUAUAGAGUAGGCUUUGGAUAUCAAUAAAUUGUGCAAAUUUGGACUCUUUCUCAAUUCUUUUGUAUUGUUCACUCUUUUCUUUUAGAGUGUGUUUGAUUAACUUUAUUUUUUAUGAAAAUUAUUAUUUUUCCACAUAAAUUCAUACUUUUGAGGUGCUUAAUCGACAAUUUUUUUCAUAGAAAAUAUUUUUCAAAUUUGGUCAUGUGAUCAUAUUUCCUUCAUAAAUAAGGAAAACAUUUUCCUUAGGGAGGGAUUGUUUUUAUUUUCCAGGUAAUUCACUCUCUCUUUCUCUCUCUUAUCUACCUAUUAAUAAAAAAUAGAUAAGUCUAAUAUUUUCUAGACGGAAAACUAAAUCAAUCAAAUACAUUUAAUUAAUAAAUUUUAUAAAAAAAUUUUUUAGACAAUUGAAUUGUCUAGAAUUUAUUUUCUUCCCCAUAUAUAAAUUCCACACUUGCAAUCAAACGCACUCUUGAUUUUUUAACAAAAACUCUAUUACUUUGUAAAAAUUUAGAAUCAUUAGGCAUUACAUUCUUGUGAUUGUAGGAAUUAAAAUGUUGGGCAUUACACAAUAAUUGUUGAGUAUUAUUAUACGUAUAUUUUUUGAGUAAAUUCAAACUUGAAUAUAUUAGUAAUAUUUUUUUUUUACAUAUUUAUACUUUACAUGUAAUUAUUUUUUAUAUUUCAUUGUAAAUUUGAAAAUAAUUAAAGAAAAAUAUAAUUAUAAGUGAUAUAUUGAUUCAACUAAUGACCCAACGAUUGAACCGGUAGCUCAAUAAAGUACUAUAAUAUUGUUUGAAUGAAUUUCCGUAUUAAUUUUAUAAAUAUGGUCACAUCAAUAUAAGACCAUAUUUUCUUUUCCCUCAAUAACCUAUUGGCGUGCGAUGUUCAAUACCAAGCUCAAACUCUUAAUAUAAUUAAGAAAUAGAAUAAUUGUUCGAUGUGAUUUAGAAUAUCUUGAGUAUUAAGCAAAUGAAAAGCCACCAAUGUAUGAACAUGAGAUUUAUACCAAAUUUCAAUGUGAAGAUUUCUUUGAACUCUGCAAGCUAAGAAUAUUCAUGUCUAGUUGUGAUUUUCCCCUUUUUCUGCAAAAUAAUUUUUCUCACCCCUCCAUAUAUUCUUGAGUUUCAUGCAAGCAAUGUACUCACAAGUCACAGCAUCCUCAUAUGUUCAUCUGCAUAAAACAACCUGAUUAUCCAUAACAAGACCUGCACAAACACUCGGUUGCUCCGCCAUGGCUCCUCCGCCGCCGCAACCACAACAAGCAACCCGACCACGCCACUUACCGCUAGUACGAUCCAUUGCUAUGGUUUUGCUUGCUCUCGUCGUUGUGGUCGGCCUAGCCGUGCUGAUUGCUUGGGUAUCAGUUAAUCCCAAAAAACUCAAAUACUCCAUCGAACAAGGCUCAAUCUCAGACUACAACUUAACCAGCAACGGCCACCUCAAUGCCAAUUUCCAUUUCGUAUUACGUGCAAACAAUCCCAACAAACGGAUUUCGAUAUACUACGACAGGAUUGAGGUUACAGUGUCGUACGAGGAUCAGAUGCUGUCGAUCAACAAUGUCCUUCCCUUUUAUCAGCGACGGCAUAACGUGACCUACCUCGACUUGGAUCUUGCGGCGAGAGAUGUGACACUUUACGGAGCGGUGGCAAGGGAUCUGAAAAUGAAGAAAUAUUCAGGGAAAGUAGAUUUGGAUGUUAAAAUAAGAAGCAAAAUCAGGCAGAAAGUGGGAGUUUUUAAAAUUCAUCGCCAUUUGAAGAUCGAAUGUGGGCCUUUGAGAGUUCCGUUUUCUUCAUCAAAGGGUGAAUUUGAGAGAGUUUUCUGUGAUGUUGAUCUAUAAAUUUGUUCUGUUUAGUGUGAUUUGUUUAAUUGCUGUAUGAGGUUUUUAUUUAUUUAUUUAUUUUUUCAAACGUUGGAUUUUGAUUUUUACAUUUUAUUUUUCUUUAUUUUCUCGAUUUUUAAAAUGUUUGUCAAAAUAUUGGUGUGACAUAUGUAAUUUAUUUUCUCAAGUGAUUGAAAAGUAUAUUGUGCCAGGUAAUUUAUUCAUUAUGAAAAUGUUUUUGAUUGUUAUGGACAAUAUUUUAUGAAAAAUUCAUAAUAUCAGGUUACUAUAAUAAUAUAUUAAAUCAUUUUAUCUAAAAAUAUAAACUUUUAAAAUAAUACAAACUUAUUAGUUUCAAUUAUAUUUCGAAACAGGCCUCAUUUGCAAUUCUUUGGCAUAUGUUGGAUAUUAAAAUUCCAUUUAAUAUAAAUUAAAAUUCAGAUUUUAAUCUAAAUCAAAAUCAACAAUUAAUUUUAAUUACAUAUUUUAUAAAACCAACAAUUUUUCAAUUAUACAUUUUAUCAGUUUUUAUUAAAAUUUGAUUUUAAUCCCUACCCAACAGGCCUAAAUUAUUUGAUAACCAAACAUUUUCCUCUCCUAUUCUACCCUCCUUUUCUUCUAGAAUCUUCUUUAUAAACUAGUUCCCUAUUAUUGUAUAGCCUUUAACACCUUGAGAUUCACUAUCUAGAAAUUUCCCUAUCAUCGCGAUGAAUUAGAACUCAUGCGGGUGUUUUAGUCGUCCAUGUACAACUAAAAAUUUGUUAUCAUCUACAUAAUUCUACGGAUGAUAUGACUUCGAAGUUUCGUAUCAAAACAUUAAUAUAGUUAAGCUUUGAAAAGUAUACGUCUUUUUCAUUUUAAGUCUUUGUAGACAGAUUUUCUAAGAUGUAUACAAUUUUGUUUAACUUUCAUUAAAACAUGUUUUUUAUUUACAUGGUUGAUAAAAUUCAAAACUUAUUAUCUGUGAAUUUUAGAUGAACCAUUGCAUAUAAGCAUUGUUAACUAGUUGGAUUGAAAGAGAAGAAUUUUAUUAGGAAAAGUUAAGUAGAAUUCUAAUUUGGAAAGAAAAAGGAAAAGUUGCCCCACUGUACUACGGGUCUUUUUCCUUUUUUUCUUUGCAAGUUGAAAAGAAAUAAAGGGUAUUUGGUGGGGAUUAAAAUUAAAUUUUUGAUAAAAAAAAAAAAAAAUUUAAAUGUGUGGUUGAAAAGUUAUGGAUCCCAUGAAAUAUUUGAUUAAAAUUUAAUGUUAACUUUGAAUUGAAAUUUUAAUUGGAUUUUAAUCCAAAGCAAUAGGGACGAAAUUUUAUACGAGAAAUGAUUUCAUAUAUAAUUAAAAAAUUGAGGACUUUUCUAUUAAUGCUACGCAAGGCUUCAAUUGCAAGAUGUGCUUAGUACCAAGGAGAUGUGAAUUCAAGUAGAGAAUUAUGCACACAUUCUUGACAAUUGUUGAAGUUGCAAAUUUAUACUAACCCAAAACUAAUAAGAAAUUUAUUUUUAACAACAAAAUAACAACUAAUCCAUUUAAUAUUUUUAUUCAUUGAAUAAAUUUUGUUUAUUAGAAUAUUGCAAUUUAGAGUUUUUGCUUAUUUUUGCAAUAUUGAAAGAGUCAAAAGAAGAAUUUUAUAGAUUUUUCAGUAUUUUAUUAACUUACUGAAAUUAAUUUUUAUUGAUUUGAUGUUGGAGUUUAGGUAAAGAAGAUAAUAAAUCUUAUAAAAAAUAAUAUAAAGAAAAAAAUAUUUAACGAAAAUUUGAUAAUUAAAAAUAUAGUAUGUAAAACGUAAUAACGUAGUAUAUAAGAUGCAAUUUGUUAUUUCAAUUAAAGGCAUUGUCGUUCGUUUAGCUAUUUUAUAAUGACAUGUUAGUAAGCCCCCCGAGGCAUAACCUAGUGGUGUAAAGGACGGGAGUGAGGUAGUUUCAGCUUUGCUGACAGUCGCAGUGUGGGGGUUCGAUUCCUGAAAUAUGGAAUUGGACUCUUUUGGACAACAGUGUAUGGACAAACUCUUGUUCCCUUAUCUGUUGGGGCACAUUUAGUGAUUUACUUCCAUCGCGAUACUCCAGAGACGGAACGGUAGGAGCUCUCAAGGUUGGGGUUCAACCUUUUAUAAUGACAUGUUAGUAAAUUUUGCAGCAAAUAGUGAAUUUUGUAACCAUUGUUCAAAUUGCAAAAUAUAUAUAAAAUAUGAAUUUAUAAAAUGCGGUAUGUAAAAUAUAAUUAAACGGUGUAUUUGUAAAUUUCUCUAAUUAUAUGAAUAGAAGAUUUGAAAAUAUUGUUGUAAAAAGGUCAAUAGGAGAAAAUAGAAGGUUUGAACAUAAUGUCUUACUUUUAUGAAGUAAAUAAAACAAGGUAUUUCAACUGACCGUAAGAGGAAAAAAGUACGGACCCAAAUAAUGUCGCAUUCAGUAAAACUUUAAAAUUUUCAAAAAUAUGUAAAUUUUCCUGCACAUCAAUUUUAUCUCCUAAUACUAUGAAUUAAUUUUGAAAGGAUUUAUGACAUAGUCUUUUCUUAAUUUCUAUCAUUUUAAAUAGUUAUUAACUUACUUUAUAUAUGGUUAAAAAUAUGUCAUAUGUUGGUUUAUUAAAAUAUAUCAAAAAUUGAAUAUCCGGUGUAUAAUUUAAAAAACAAGGUUUAAAUAAUAUGAUAUAUAUAUAUUAAAAUACUGAUAAUACUAUAAUUUAAUUAAUAUAGUUUUUUAACUGAAGAUUUCAAGUCUCUUAAUGUAUAGAAAAAAAAAUAUUAAUAAUUGAAUAUCUAUAUUAGAUGCGAAGGAAAAGAAGUGUCUACAUGCAUUGAAUAUUUUCUUCUUGUUUCAAUGUUAUUUUUUUUUUUUUUACCAAAUAUGUAAAGGCAGAAGCAUAAAAUUAUAGAAAAUGAAUAUUUACAAAUAAAGAAUUAAUUUUUUCCAAAAUUAAAUUAUUCUCAAAAUAACUAAAAAUUGUUUGGACCAAAAAGAAAUAAUGUAUAAUGUCCAUUCCUUGAGAGCAUGGACACAACUUGGAAGGCAAUCUUCCUCUAUCUUAUUUCUUAAUAUACUUUCCUAACCCCCAGUCGAAGUAUUCAACCCAAAGGAAAAAUGAAUUUUGAUCUAAGUAUGCUCGAAUGUCAUCUCAUACACACUAGCGGUCCCUUCCCCUCUUUAUUCCAUAAAAAUAUUAUUAAACGUAUGGAUUAAGGAAAUGCAUUAUAAUUUUUUUGAACCAGAAGAAAUACUUUCAUGAAAUUAGUCAAAUUAAUAGAUCUAAAAUAAUUGUUAAAUCUCAAAAAUUCUUUUUAACUAUUCAAAAUCAUGCCAAAUGACCCCGAUGUCAGGUUCAUAGCUAAAUGGAGUUGAACACUUUCUUAAUUAAAUUAAAUUAGCCCUUUUGACUUUUAAGGUAAAUGUUGGUUUUUGAUAUCUAAUGAAUCUUGAGCUAUGAUGUAGACGUAGGAAUAUAAUUUCAUAUUCCCCGACCAAUGAUGAAUUAAUUAUCAACAAACAAAUCCGAAGGCUCGACCUGAAAACAAUGUGAACUGUCUUAAGUAGUUUAAGAAAUUAAUGCUACUCACGAUUCAUAUCUAUUUAUCUAUUAGACGACUUUAAAUUUUGGCACAUUUAAUUCUAUUAUUGGUCCAAUUAAAGUCUAAUCUAUUCCUAUAUAUGUUGCUUUUAGCCCUAACAGUUUGUGUGUGAUUUGUGCCUGCAUAGAGUGAAAAACGUAGCCGCCCAUUUAAGAGGAAAAUUCGACUACUUUGUGCUUCCAAAAAAUUGGUGAUUAACUGUGUUAUUCGUCUCCUAUUGUGCCUUCUUUUCAUUGGUUUUUUUUUUAGCAUAAGUGCCAUAGAAGGCUAAAUUCAACAACCUCCCAAAUAUUAUAAUAUAUUGAUUGAAUAAAUAUCGUUAUUCUAGCAUUUCAAUAAUUAUAAUGACCAUCAAAGAAAUUAGGACGAUUUGUAUGAUACUCCUCAAGAUUUUAAAAAAUGUGGUUAGCCAUUGCUCAAGAUUAUAGAAUCUUAAUUUCAAAAUAAGCACAUGGCUCUUGUACGAAUUGAUAGCCCACGGAUAACUAACAAAGAAGGGGUGAAUUGGUUUUUAAUUUUUUUUUUAAAUAAACUUAAAUCAAACAAGUCAAGAAAUACGUUGAUCAAUUAAUUAUAAUCAUAAACAUACAGAAGCAGGCAGAUCGAUCAAAUAAUUAAUAUAAAUGAAAUAACAAUAAGUAAAAGGGUAGAGAGGGUGCAAACGGUAUAAUUGUGGAGGUUCGAUCCAAAAAAAUAUCAACAUCCUUCAUUACCAAUCUCUUCAACACGAGCAAGGCCUUUUCAUUAUAUUGAUUGACUUAUGGUGCAAUUUAACUCUUUACAACACUUUUAAUAACUUAUAAAUAAUGACCAUCAAUCAUUAUACAAUGUUGAAUUUUACAGGACCUCAACACUACCCACUAUUGAGCUUUUACAUUACAUCAAUAUGAUCCACAUUAUUGAGCGUUACGGGACCUUAAUAUGACCUAUACAAUGGUUUAUAACAAAGAGCACCGAUUCUUAUACAAUAUUGAUGUUUACGAGAAUUCCAUACAAUCUACACUUUAUCAAAGUGUGUUUACAAUGGAAUUUUUCUCUUGAUAAAGUGAGUGAAAGACUUCUGUUCAAAAUUUCGUCAUUCGUGAGGACUUUUUGUUACAUACUAUUUAAAUAAUGGAAUAUUAAAUAUCUAUGAAGUAAAUUAAUUGAGAAUCCAAGUACUUGAUUGAUCAAACUGAGCAAAUCUUACAUAUGUAACAAAUGAACCCAUGGAGACCCAAAAGGUAAAUGGAUCCAACCCGGUAAGCCAUAUUUUAGUACGAGGAAAUAGUGGCCAACAGCCGGUUGACCCGGCCAAUUUUUCAAAGAGGCCUUUGACCGGUUAAAAAAAAAAGCAAAAUUAUUUAAAACAGUGAAAACCAACAAAAAUCAAGAGAAACCCAAUUUUACCCCUUGCAAGGAAAAGGAACCAGAAGGGGAGUGGAAAAGUAUUGUAGCACAGUCGACCCAGUUACCGACAAAAAAGAAAAAACAGGAGACCCAGUUGAUCAUUUCUUUCUGAAGAAGGUAAGAUUUUUAUACCAAAAAAACCAUAUUUUUAUUUUUAUUUUUGGAAAAAAGUAUGAUUUUAUAUAUAUGUGUUGAGAAAUCCUUGUAUAAAUGUGGAAUUUGGCUUGUUAUUGUUUGGGAAGGAGUGGAGAUCGCCAGAAAUGAAGUUUUCCAACGAUCUCCAUGGCAGACGGCGUGCCGGUCGCCCAGACGGCCCAGUUGACUAGGCCGUCUGGGCGAAGGUACCCUAUCAACUAGGUAACCCAGUUGACUGGGCCAACUGGGCACAGUAACGCCCAGGUGGCCCAGUCAACUGGGCACCUGGGCCGGCCAUUAUUUUGGGCCCUUUUUUUGGAUAAUUAUUGAAAUUAAUUAAAUAAUUAUUAAUGGCUUAUAUUGUGUUCUCUAAUAUGUAAUUGUUUAUUUGAAUUGCUUAAUUUGAAUGUAUAUUAUAUAUAUAUAUAUAUAUAUAUAUAUUAACGCCCGAAAAUGAUGAUUGGUGACAAAAAUAAUAUGAACAGAUUUGAUUGAAAGCUUGUUUUCUAGACUUGAUUAAUAGAGACACAAUAUUUUUAAAUAGUAAGUAUUAGAAGGCACCACCAAUCCAACUUCGCCACUCUACCUUCAAACACUUCUCUCUUGGAAUAAAGAUGAAUCUGAAAAUCAAUUGUAGGAAAUGAAAGAGACGCUAAUCUAAAUUUAAUGAUUUUUCGUAAUAGCUAACCAUUAAAUAAUGUAUGUAUGGCUAUAAUUCAGAAAAGCUAACAGUUAAAUAAUCUUCAGGUCUAAAUACAGUGGGAACAAUAGCUGACGAAGACUUAGAUUCAGCCUCUUCAGUCGCAGGCCCAUUAAUCUCUUCGGCCACGGUAUUGAAGAAGAAAGCUAUGAAAUGAAAGAAAUGAUUCAUUCAUCUAAAAAUGUCGUACAUCCAGAUAUAAAUACAGCUUGGUUCAUUAACAGAAUAUGCCAGCAUCAAACAGAAUAUCCCAGCUCACUAAACUGCAGUUAACUAACUAACUUUAACUAACUAACUUCAUCUAACUAACUAACGGUACUACAAUCAAUUGCCAGCUAUUGCCAGCUAAGCUAAAUAGUCUAAUACCCCCCCUUCAAGGUGGACGAUGCAGAUCAGUAACGGCCAUCUUGGAUAGUAGAGGAAACAAAGAGUUGGCAGGUAAAGCUUUAGUAAAAACAUCUGCUAACUGAUUCUGGGUGCGGACAGGUAAAAGUUUGAUGGAGCCUUCAGUAACUUUAUCACGGAUGUAAUGGCAAUCAAUCUCGAUGUGUUUCGUCCUUUCAUGGAAGAUAGGAUUGUUAGCUAUGUGAAUUGCAGCUUGGUUAUCACAAAAUAUUAGUGCCGGAGUUGGGGAAGAAAUCUGGAAAUCACGAAGUAAUUGAUGGAUCCAAGCAAUUUCACUUGCUGUUUCCUAGGAGGGAGUUCAGGAUCCGAAGAUUUGGAGAGGCAAUCUCGACAGUGUGUCCAGGCCGGAGUUGUGCCCCAAACGACGACGUAGCGGCAUGUGGUGGUGAGGAUUUUCAACAUGAGGGAUUAUUGCAAAUGGCAGGGGGGUUUGGGAAUUCUGGAUUUUAGGGUUAGGUUUUGAUUUAGAGGAAGAGGUGAACCACCAUCGACGAAGGAUAAAGAAGCUUUUUUGCUCGGGAAGAAGAAGCAGGGAUUUAUGACUUCUCUUUCUUGAAUUAAAACUCUGCGCUCAUCGGCGGUGCAAUUGGAGGGCUAUGAACCAGGACAAAAUGAAUGGGGAAUGGCGUGUGACACUGUGAGAGUAUAUGAACGAAGACAAAAGGUGUCAUCUUAAACAGUAACUUGGCACUGGCGUACUGACAAAAUUCUUACAUUUGAUCAUACAUUCUCUAUCAAUCUACUAUUCCAAAUACAUUCUCCUCUAAAAAUGGGGCUCAAACAGGCUCUAUGAAUAGACAUUUUGUGAAGAACUGAUUGAUAGAAUUGGGUUAUGUUUCGAUUUUUUUUCUACGGCUCAGCUUUGUUAGAAGCCGAAUUCAUAUCCUCUUUCGCUGAUACAUGUUCCUGAUUAUCAUGUUCUUAACGACUGAAAUAUUUUUUAUGAGCAAUGCUUGAGAAAUUUUCCGAAUACAGCAAACGACUUAUAUAUAAUGAAGGAAAUAUUUCAAAUUUAUUUUCAGCGCAAAAGAUUUGCUUCAGUUUAUGGUUUGAAAUUUCUUGUCAGGAAGGAGAGGGACCGUUAUGCCUCCUCGAAAGCACUUUCCAGUUUAUCCAUGCUUUCUGCGUCAAGAAGUGCAACAGAUAAAUGGCUAAUGGGUAGAUUUUUCAUUAUUUGUUUUCAAGAAUUUAUUAUUAUUAUUAUUAUUUAAUAUUUUCUUAGUUGUGAUUUUUCAAUUAAUUGUAUUACAUUCAUUAAAUUUAUUAAUGAAUUCAAUAUUUUCGUUAACGAAACAUAAUUAUCUAUUUAAUAAUUUAUGAAGUAGUAGAUCAAAUAAAUAAAUAAUUUUUUCAUAUAGAUAAAUUAUUAAGAAUGAAAAAAUGAUUAAAUAAUGUUCAUGUGGUGCAAUUUUUAGUGUAAUGGUUAAAGAUGAAUUUUAAUUUGAUACAAAUUUUGGGAUGGGAUUGGAGAUGAUCUAAGUAAUUAAUGUACAUAAGCAAGUUGACUUUGCAAGCCAAAUAAACACUAUUCAUCAUUUGUGCAAUCAAAAUAGAAUAUUCAACAGCCCCCCAGGGCACAUCCGAGUUGGUGGAACAAUCACUUCGCUGGGACGCUGGAAGCAAGGGUGGAGAGUUCGAUUCCUGGAGUUAACACUGGGUGCUAAAAUGGAGGGGAAGCCAUUUGGUUGAACAAACGCCCAGCGAGGAGAGCUCUCUUUGCGGAAGGAGGCCAAAUGAGUUGUGGGAACCUGGGAGCCAACAAGGGCACAUCCUGCGAUUUACC
RNAcentral lists this long non-coding RNA (12735 nucleotides) under Olea europaea (common olive). RNAcentral's name for it is "long non-coding RNA (OEUR_LNC008524)". Lineage: Eukaryota; Viridiplantae; Streptophyta; Magnoliopsida; Lamiales; Oleaceae. The record is from RNAcentral.